Molecule: non-coding RNA, 1397 nt
Organism: Sus scrofa (pig)
Lineage: Eukaryota; Metazoa; Chordata; Mammalia; Artiodactyla; Suidae
Source: RefSeq, a predicted model, not a curated record
AUUAAGUGAUGAAUCAUAUAGCUUAUGAAUCACAACUCAAUAAAGUUUCUUUUUUAAGCCCACUUUUUCUCACUCUUCUAGAAUUAUCUCUUUGACCAAGCUUCUAGUUUUUCAGAUAUUCAUGCUGAAUACUCUCUUUUUUAAUGCCAAUUCAUUCUAGCAUUUAACCACUCUUUAUACAUUACUUAUUAAUCGAAAGAGUAGUGUUAAAAUAUACCACGUGUCUAUUAACCUCUGAGAUAACCAGUCAUAAAGAUAAACAUGGGAUUUUGGAAGAGAACCAAACCAUUAAAUCAUUUUAGACAUUGGCCUAAGAUUUUUAAAAGUGCCUACUAAGAAUGACUGGGCAUUUUGGGGCUUUGUUCUCCUGACUUACCUAAAAUUCAAUCUUCAGUUCAACCAGGAAGCCUGAGCAAGUAUUACUUGUAGAGACCCCUUCUAGGGAGACAAGAUGAGCUCAGGGAGUGGGCAAAGCAUCUUUGCUGCCCCUCAUCACCCAGCUGAGGGUCCUGCUGGAAAGAAGUCACUGAAACUCACUUGGAAUUUAUUCAGAUCAGUGUUUAUCGACUUCAGCAUGCUUGCUACUUGGGGCCAAAUGAUUCCUUGUUGGGAAAAUAGGUAAGUGUAGGAUUUGGACUGGAAACUUCUAAGACCCAUUCUAUGACUCUGUGACCAUGUCCAGAUCACCUUGCUAAAGAUACCUCCUGCUAUUGCCAGACAUGACCCCUGUCUUCAUCCCAAGCCUCAGCAUCAUGCAAAACCUCACCCUCGGACCUCCCACAAGCCCCUCCAACAGCCCGGCCUCCCUUCUUCCGGCAGCCCUCUCAGGAGCCAAACACAGGAGGAAAACGGAGCCUGUAAGAACCAUGUCUGUCCAGGAAAAACCAGGGCAGUCCAUCCAAAAGAAAGAAGACCACCCACCUGAGACAGGAUGCCCACUUUCUUGCAGUUGGUCCCUCCAAUGAAGACCAUGUUGGGCAUGACAGGUCGGGGAAACUCAAAGACAAAGUCGUAUCUCAUCAGCCAAAUGUCAGCCUUGCGAUAUAAGGCGGGUAGGUCCACCUCUAUCUUGAGGAUAUCACGUGCGAGGUCUUCGUACUUAGUAUACAGCAGGUCAAGGAGGAUAUUCUCCAAGAUCCUAGUAAGGAAGUUGGCCACCCGUUGGGGGAAAGUCAUCCGGUCGGAGAACGCAGUGUAGUACCUGGGGACGUAGGACGUGGGGCUUGGGGUCCUGGUGAACGUGUUCUCCAGGGAGCACGGGAAGCCCCUGAAGAGGUACACGGACGGCAGGCCCAGGUACUCGGCCAGGAUCACCCCGCAGGGUAAGGCCGGGUCUGUGAACAGGGCAUCGAACUUGGCCUCCCGGAGGAAGCUCAGGGUGGCGGCGUCCCUCAGGA